ACCAAUUUUGAAUCACCCUGUAUUGCACAAAUGUAACAUAUCAUGGAAACGUUUCAAAAAUGUUUCAGAGACGUCUUUAGCGCAUACACGAUUCAUGGUUCUACCUUAUAAAACAUAACCACUCUGUCUAUCCAAACAACGCAUGAUUUGGGAGGUUAUAUUAUUUAAUUUUUCAUAAUUAGAUUACUGGUUCAGCAAAAUUAGUUUAGCAUUGGUAUUGGAAAAAGUACCUAUACUUUUUUAUUGUAGAAACUUUAGAAUAGGUAAGCAUACAACUAAAUUAUGGUGUAUUUAACUAAAUUAGCUCUAACUUAGACCAUGUGGACGAUGUUAUGUUGUUCUAAUUUCCAGUUGUUCCGUUCAUAAAUGUACUAGUAUUCCCAGGCUCAUCAAUAUCAUUUCAGGGCAAUAAAAUGAGCCGGACAAAGAAAAGAAAGAUUUCUAACAGGCAUCUUUGGCGUUUGAUGAACAAGAACGUAAUCUAACUAUAUCAUCCUAACAGUUGUUUAGACCUAUAUUGAAUAUUUUUAAUACCUGCUCCAUACAUCAUCUUGAACUGUACACUGUAUAUAGCACUGUUUUAUCUUUGUUUCACUUUUAGGCUCAUGUUGCCCAACUCAUCACCUACCAACAUUAUCUACCCAACUCAAAGAAGACUGGAUGGAGGCCUUUGCUUAGAGACUACUGAGCUUCGCGCCAUUCGCCGGGGGCGAGAACUGUCAGCAUGUAAAUGUUGGGGCUACCACUAGACCCGAGUGUUUAUGUUUAUACCGGUUAGAGCUCAUGGGGAGUUGCCCUAUGGGAGCCCUAGGGCUGGAAGGGCGACCAUGUAAGUACAUGAAAUGGGAACUUACCUUUGGAUGAAUAACCGGGAUUAAACAGAUUUAAUUUCGUUGCUUGACAGUAAUGGAACGGUGAAGUGGUAAAAAACCGCAAGCGUGUACAACCCCGUCAACUUUUAGGAGUGAAAAUGACACGCAAUAUUCAUGGGUGCCAACUGCGCAAUGAGCGGGAUCGAAGCAAAGUGUUCGGGAGAAAAGGAUGCCAGUACGCGUGAGGACCAACUUUUAUUGUUAAAUUUUUAGUAUUUUAAUUAAUUAUUUUAUUAUAGUUUUGUAAGUAGUAAUAAAGGGGAAAAUAAUUAGUUUUUAAAUGGUUCAAUUUGUAGCAAAAAUGCAAAGACGACUUGUUUAAAGCCAAUAUCGUGUUGUGCGAUAUGGAACCGCAUUAAAAAUGUCCUCAUAGAUUCACUCACGAUUAACUUUAAGUGAAAAAGUAUAUAAAAUUAGGACGUAAAUCUUUGAACAAGUGGGACAUAAAUAAAACAGAACUUAAUCGGGGGGUAAUUGAUCCAAAUAUCUGUUCUAUCAUUUGUCAACUUUUACUUUAAAAUUGUAUAAUAAGUUAACUAAAAAAUGUACUUGUGUUUUUUGUGCAUAUUCUAUGAAGCAGGAAACCGCUAGUAAACUAGUAAAUAAAUACCGCUGACGAGUUUACAGUAAA
Long non-coding RNA from Dendroctonus ponderosae (mountain pine beetle), 1503 nucleotides. RefSeq lists it as uncharacterized. Lineage: Eukaryota; Metazoa; Arthropoda; Insecta; Coleoptera; Curculionidae. The transcript has 2 exons. The record is from RefSeq and is a predicted model, not a curated record.